This is a long non-coding RNA of Acanthopagrus latus (yellowfin seabream), 719 nucleotides long. RefSeq lists it as uncharacterized. NCBI's taxonomy places the organism in Eukaryota, Metazoa, Chordata, Actinopteri, Spariformes, Sparidae. The record is from RefSeq and is a predicted model, not a curated record. The transcript is spliced from 3 exons.
UACAAAAAUGCGUGCAGUCUCUCCGUCAGCCAUUUUGAAGACAGCUUUAUCUUAAAAUAGUAGUAACAACACAGGACAUUCUGUCUCCCUGUCAGCCAUUUUGUUGAGAUAACACUAGGCUUCCCUAACAGGCAUGGAAUAGACUGGGCACCCUUUCUUUAAAGCAUUUUCUAACUGUCACAUGCUAUCUGCACACUCCUCUAUCACAUCCUUUUACUCCCCUGCUGCUGUUUUUUUCUUCCUUUGCUAUAUUUCUGAACGCUUCUCCGUCUGUGUCAGAAUGGAUUCAAACCGGCUGUCUCUCUAUUUCUGUGUCUGUCUCUGCAACUCUGCCUCAGUCCCUAUGCAGUCCUGGUCAAAUGUCUCCAUGGCAACCCAGACUAUCAUACUAUGGGAAAGGGAGUUGGUCGUCCGUCCGUCCAUCUGCUGUUAAGUGGAAUCGUACAUUAGAGAGUGAAUGAGUGAGUAGGUGGGCGAGUAUCUCAGUCGGCAUGUGGUCUGAUUGAAUGCUCGUAUAGUAUGCAUGUAGGUCAUGUGGAGCUUUAUCCUGAGCCUGGACCGCUGGGACCCGAACGCCUGAAGUGAGCCUCGCCAGCCUCCCUCUCAGAGGAGUCUACUUCUUGAAGAUGUUGGUAGGCGGGGCCCGAAUACUUGGACCCUCCAAUCGGAUUUAGCCUUCCCCUGGGUAUUGGCGGGGUCCUGCGUGGGGCUGACCAAUG